RNAcentral lists this ribosomal RNA (333 nucleotides) under Triticum aestivum (bread wheat). RNAcentral describes it as "partial small subunit ribosomal RNA". The record is from RNAcentral. Lineage: Eukaryota; Viridiplantae; Streptophyta; Magnoliopsida; Poales; Poaceae.
AUGCUCUUGUCGUAUCGUAUCGUAUACACAGACAUUGCGCGUACGCAUGAUGAUCACAGAAUAUCCUGGCCCGCACAAGUUGAUCCGAGUCCCCCACGAGAACAACAGUUCGUCCGGCGUCUCUUCCCUUCCCUGUUUCGGCAGUCCCAGCCUUGCCGUCAAAUCUGGUAUCAUCGGGCAAGAGGCCAACCACACCCCAUCCACUGGCCAGUACAUGGAAGCCGUGUGGCACAAAUUUCAGGCAGCUCUGCAACUCAAAUCAAGAGAUUUUUAACAGAAGGAAAAGCUAAAUACUCCUACACGGAUCUGAGCGGCUUAAGAGUUGGUCAGUAG